UGGGGAGGCUCACGAGAGGCUGGAAGUGCAGCCACAGGGAUGGAGAAUGCUUUAACUGCUGCCUUUAAUUUGUACGCUUCUUUGUUUCAUCCAACAGCCUGCCUGUGUGUCGCCUUUCAAGUGAUUUCCCUUGCUGUUUUCGCUAACACAACUUUAUCCCUGCUGGAGAGGCUGUUGAGCACUGAUGGGGAGAGGUGAAGGCCUGCACCAGCCCUUGCCCAGCAAUGGGCCCAGCCGUUGGAGCAGGGCUGUAAAAGCAGAUAAAUGAGCUUGCUGGGUAAAUUGGGGAACAUUCUGCAAAGAUUUCAAGUCAAAUACUACUGGUGCGGUCACUGUUGCCUCACAGUCACCAGGCUGGAGCAGCCAUAGGUUGGUCUCAGUGACUCCAGCUGGGCAGCCUCCAGUUUGGACAAGCAAGACUACCAAAAGACUAAAAAUUGGCCGUGUGAAUAUGCUCGUGGCCACUUACAGGAGUGGGGAGCUCUGCCUGACUGCCUCCUGGCUGCAGAAGCAUUUGCUCCAAAGCAAAUCUGUGCAAGUCUCUAAAGAUGACUAUAACUUGAAUGGUAACUAAAAGGAAAUAGGCUGACAAAAUGCAACAGGACUCAGAGAAGGUUUGCAUAUAGUUAUUUUAUAGGCUUGCCUGCCUAGCAAGCGCUUUGCACUGCAUAUUGCACUGCUCUUCUAUGUGUCCGUGUUUCAUUAUAGAUUUGCCAUUUCUAAACAUGUAAAAAUAGGAUGUGCUGGUGUGGUUUAAAUGGUGCUAAGAGCACCACAGAGAGGCACAGUGAUAGCUGUGUGGGAAAUGAGAGAAGAGAGGAAUUCUCCUGAGCAAAGAGCAAUAUCAAGCAAAUGCUGAACUGACAACCUCUGCUGCUGAGACUGAAAUGCUCUGGCAAGAAGCCACCAGCACGUAUAUCCAUACAGCAAUGAACAGCCCCUCAGCGGAGAGCGCAUCGGGAAUGUAUUCAGCACGUAAAGCAUCAGCUGUAUGAAACACUGCAGACAAGAUAAUCCUGCUGUUUUAUCUAUCUGAGUGUUGAGAAACAGUUAAUGAAAUACAGGAGGCCGAGGAUCUCAGCAUCACAGAAGGAUGUUACUGGUGUGGGACUGGUAUAUGGUCAAACCAGUGCUGGCUGUAGAGACCCAGAGCCUGUUUUUAAUGCUGCCAGAGACCUCAGCAGCAGCACAUGUUGGAUUUAUCAGCCUUUAUGAGAUAUGGCACUGCAGAAAUUGGUCUGAGACUGCCGGACUAUUUACUACCGCUAUACCAGAAUAAUUCUUAUGCUUAUUCCCUGUUCUGAAUACAUCCAAAACUGAACUUCCCAGGUGAAGUUGCACUGAUUUAAAUCCAGCCAUAAAUCUGUUGCCCCUUACUGAGCCACUCAUUUCUUUUUUACUGUUUUUGAAGGGCAGGGAAAAAAGAAUCUAUUUGGUGCAGGGAAAAUGAAAGCAAUUUUCCAAACUCCUCAGCGAGAGAGAAAAAUAUUUUCACACAUUUGUCCAUAUGCAUUAAGCAGAUCUCCAGCCAUUUUACACUGUGCCAUCCCUUCAUCUGGCUCUGUUUUCGGUUUGGUUUUAUUUCUCAGAGGUUUUUAUUUCUCCCCUGUCCUCUCUUUAAUUUUCCCCCCAGCCUCUUGCAUAAGGAUGAGAAGGAGCCUGGUUUACUUGUCCCCUCCUAAGUGGGGAGAGCAAACAAAACAAAGCCAAGUCCCUGUGCAUCUCACUUAUCAGAAUGUUCCAUCACUGCACCUGGCUGCACUGCCUGCUUCUCUCUCUAUCCUUGAGCUGCAGCAGUGAGAGCUGACAUUGUUCUCCUCUGGGAAGUAGGGAGGAGAAAUAAUUCCCCAGCACGAUGAUUUUGGAAAGCCUUCCUGAAUCAUUUUAAGCUUGUUUUUGGCUUCCACUGUUUUCCCAUUAAGCAAUUUUUUUUGGGUAAUUCCCUUCCAUGAAUAGGAGGUUGUAUCAUCCAGUGCUUCACUUCUUCACAGCUUCCAUUCUCUCAGCCUUUGGACCAGGAAAAAGAAUAGGCUUUUGGUAACCAGCGUGUAGAAAUCUUUACGUUUGUUUUGCUGGUUUGCAGCAAUAAAAAAGAGGUUUUCAUACUGUAA
Molecule: non-coding RNA, 2111 nt
Organism: Coturnix japonica (Japanese quail)
Lineage: Eukaryota; Metazoa; Chordata; Aves; Galliformes; Phasianidae
Source: RefSeq, a predicted model, not a curated record